AACGAACGCUGGCGGCAUGCCUAACACAUGCAAGUCGAACGAGACCUUCGGGUCUAGUGGCGCACGGGUGCGUAACGCGUGGGAAACUGCCCUUGGGUUCGGAAUAAAUCACCGAAAGGGGUCCGGAUACCGGAUAAUGUCUUCGGACCAAAGAUUUAUCGCCUUUGGAUGGGCCCGCGUUGGAUUAGCUAGUUGGUAGGGUAAAAGCCUACCAAGACGACGAUACAUAGCUGGUCUGAGAGGAUGAUCAGCCACACUGGGACUGAGACACGGCCCAGACUCCUACGGGAGGCAGCAGUGGGGAAUAUUGGACAAUGGGCGAAGGCCUGAUACAGCAAUGCCGCGUGAGUGAUGAAGGCUUUAGGGUUGUAAAGCUCUUUUACCCGGGAUGAUAAUGACAGUACCGGGAGAAUAAGCACCGGCUAACUCCGUG
Molecule: ribosomal RNA, 433 nt
Filed under: uncultured bacterium
Lineage: Bacteria
Description: partial 16S ribosomal RNA
Rfam family: Bacterial small subunit ribosomal RNA
Source: RNAcentral